Molecule: ribosomal RNA, 440 nt
Filed under: uncultured bacterium
Lineage: Bacteria
Description: partial 16S ribosomal RNA
Rfam family: Bacterial small subunit ribosomal RNA
Source: RNAcentral
CCUACGGGUGACAGCAGUGGGGAAUAUUGCACAAUGGGGGAAACCCUGAUGCAGCGACGCCGCGUGAGUGAAGAAGUAAUUCGUUAUGUAAAGCUCUAUCAGCAGGGAAGAAAAUGACGGUACUUGUGUAAGUAGCCCCGGCUAACUACGUGCCAGCAGCCGCGGUCAUACGGAGGGGGCAAGCGUUAUCCGGAUUUACUGGGUGUAAAGGGAGCGUAGACGGCAGUGCAAGUCUGGAGUGAAAGGCGGGGGCUCAACCUCCGGACUGCUCUGGAAACUGUACGGCUGGAGUGCAGGAGAGGGAAGUAGAAUUCCUGGUGUAGCGGUGAAAUGCGUAGAUAUUAGGAGGAAGACCAGUGGCGAAGGCGGCUUACUGGACUGUAACUGACGUUGAGGCUCGAAAGCGUGGGGAGCAAACAGGAUUAGAUACCCUUGUAGUC